Molecule: ribosomal RNA, 617 nt
Filed under: uncultured bacterium
Lineage: Bacteria
Description: bacterial SSU rRNA
Rfam family: Bacterial small subunit ribosomal RNA
Source: RNAcentral
CCUACGGGAGGCAGCAGUGGGGAAUUUUGGACAAUGGGCGCAAGCCUGAUCCAGCCAUGCCGCGUGCGGGAAGAAGGCCUUCGGGUUGUAAACCGCUUUUGUCAGGGAAGAAAUCCUUUGAGAUAAUACCUCGGAGGGAUGACGGUACCUGAAGAAUAAGCACCGGCUAACUACGUGCCAGCAGCCGCGGUAAUACGUAGGGUGCGAGCGUUAAUCGGAAUUACUGGGCGUAAAGCGUGCGCAGGCGGUCUUGCAAGACAGAUGUGAAAUCCCCGGGCUCAACCUGGGAACUGCAUUUGUGACUGCAAGGCUAGAGUACGGUAGAGGGGGAUGGAAUUCCGCGUGUAGCAGUGAAAUGCGUAGAUAUGCGGAGGAACACCGAUGGCGAAGGCAAUCCCCUGGACCUGUACUGACGCUCAUGCACGAAAGCGUGGGGAGCAAACAGGAUUAGAUACCCUGGUAGUCCACGCCCUAAACGAUGUCAACUGGUUGUUGACGGCUUGCUGUUCAGUACGAAGCUAACGCGUGAAGUUGACCGCCUGGGAAGUCGGCCGCAAGGUUGAAACUCAAAGGAAUUGACCGGNGNGAGAGNGCGACGACGACGACGAGGGAGGAGG